UACAGAGGGUGCGAGCGUUAAUCGGAAUUACUGGGCGUAAAGGGUGCGUAGGUGGUUAAUUAAGUUAGAUGUGAAAUCCCUGGGCUUAACCUAGGAAUUGCAUUUAAGACUGAUUAGCUAGAGUUUGAGAGAGGGAAGUGGAAUUUCCGGUGUAGCGGUGAAAUGCGUAGAUAUCGGAAGGAACACCAGUGGCGAAGGCGGCUUCCUGGCUCGAUACUGACACUGAGGCACGAAAGCGUGGGGAGCGAACAGG
This 253-nucleotide ribosomal RNA is filed under the name uncultured bacterium. Its description in RNAcentral is "partial 16S ribosomal RNA". It matches the Rfam family "Bacterial small subunit ribosomal RNA", at positions 524 to 776 of the family's 1533-position model. The record is from RNAcentral.